UUCAAGGCAUUCAAAGCAUUCAAGUUUAAUUCAAUUUCAAAUAAAAUGCGUUUUGGAGGGAAACAUGUGUUUCUUAGAAUACAAGUCAUGUGCUACAAUUCAAGGGGCUAUUUCCAUUACAAAACCUUCAAAGUUCAUUACAAAAGCAAAAAUACAAAAUUCUUUACAAAAAAUGUUACUUUGACCUAGAGUUGACUUUUGGUCAACUGUUAACUUUUUGGUCAAACAAUUUACCAAAGUCCACUAACUAUCCUAGACCUAUUCUUCUUCAUCUUCAUCAAUCUUCAUCAUAAUCAUAUCCAUGAUCUUCAAACUUCCAAAUGCACCUCAU
Molecule: long non-coding RNA, 331 nt
Filed under: Lathyrus oleraceus (garden pea)
Lineage: Eukaryota; Viridiplantae; Streptophyta; Magnoliopsida; Fabales; Fabaceae
Description: Pisum sativum (pea) long non-coding RNA (PSAT_LNC009171)
Source: RNAcentral